UUAUGUUGUUUAUUUCUAACGAAACUACACUAAAAAAGGAAUCUAUACAUAUAUGGCAUGACCUCUAAUUAUCUCUGGUUAAUUUAUAGUGAAUUUCCAAAGUCAGAUCAGGGGAUCCAGAAAUCGCUCUGGCCCUGUUCCACGAAAACUUAAAUAUCUCUUAAAAUACGACUCAUAUAAUCUUUUCGUUUCUUCCAUAUGAAAGUAGAUUCAUCAAGGUUCGAUUAAAUAAUUUAUUAACUAUUUAAUUCCAU
This 254-nucleotide long non-coding RNA is filed under the name Gossypium barbadense (sea-island cotton). Its description in RNAcentral is "long non-coding RNA (GBAR_LNC005545)". Lineage: Eukaryota; Viridiplantae; Streptophyta; Magnoliopsida; Malvales; Malvaceae. The record is from RNAcentral.